UACAGAGACCUCAAGCGUUAUCCGGAAUCAUUGGGCGUAAAGCGUACCGAUAGGUGGUUAUACAAGUCAGAAGUGAAAUUCCAAAGCUUAACUUUGGGUCUGUCUUUUGAAACUGUAUAACUAGAAGGGCAAAGAGGAAGCUGGAACAAACGGUGAUAGUAGUGAAAUGCGUUGAUAUCGUUUGGAACACCAAUAGCGUAGGCAGGCUUCUGGGUGCCACUUGACACUGCUAGGACGAAAGCGUGGGGAGCGAAUGGG
Molecule: ribosomal RNA, 258 nt
Filed under: uncultured bacterium
Lineage: Bacteria
Description: partial 16S ribosomal RNA
Rfam family: Bacterial small subunit ribosomal RNA
Source: RNAcentral